This 1642-nucleotide ribosomal RNA is filed under the name Macrourus whitsoni (Whitson's grenadier). RNAcentral describes it as "16S ribosomal RNA". It matches the Rfam family "Bacterial large subunit ribosomal RNA". Lineage: Eukaryota; Metazoa; Chordata; Actinopteri; Gadiformes; Macrouridae. The record is from RNAcentral.
GCCUAAACAAUCUUUAACCCUAUUACAAAACUAAAAACUUUUAAUACAUAAAGUAAACCAUUUAUAAACCCUAGUAUGAGAGACAAAAAAGGAUAUUAGAGCUAUAGACAUAGUACCGCAAGGGAAAACUGAAAAAGAAAUGAAACAAAUCAUUUAAGUAUUGAAUAGCAGAGAUUACUUCUCGUACCUUUUGCAUCAUGAUUUAGCAAGUAAAAUCAAGCAAAGAGCCCUUUAGUUUGUUACCCCGAAACUAUGCGAGCUACUUCAAGACAAUCUAUUAGGAUAAACCCGUCUCUGUGGCAAAAGAGUGGGAAGAACUUUGAGUAGAGGUGACAAACCUAUCGAGCACAGUUAUAGCUGGUUGCCUGAGAAAUGGAUAGAAGUUCAGCCCUUUAAACAUUCCCCCACCACCCUUAAAGUUAAUAUGAUAAAGGAAAAUUAAGGAGUUAGACAGAAGGGGUACAGCUCUUCUGAAUAAAGAAACAACUUUAGUAGGUGAAUCAGGAUCAUACCAAUCAAGGACUAAGAUUUAAGUGGGCCUAAAAGCAGCCAUCUUUAAAGAAAGCGUUAAAGCUCCAACUAUUCAACUCGCCCCUUUAUACUGAUAUAUUACUCCCCUCCCCUACUAUUUACCAGGCUAUCUUAUGCCCCCAUAAGAAUAAUUAUGCUAAAAUGAGUAAUAAGAAGAAACUUCUUCUCCCAGCAUACAUGUAAGUCAGACCGGACCAUCCACCGAUUAUUACACGACCCCAAACUCAGAGGGACAUAAGUUAAAAAACAAGAAAACCACUUAACUAGAAUCGUUAACCCUACACAGGAAUGCAUUAAGGAAAGACUAAAAGGAAAGAAAGGAACUCGGCAAACUCAAGCCUCGCCUGUUUACCAAAAACAUCGCCUCUUGACCUACACAGCAUAAGAGGUCUCGCCUGCCCAGUGACUAAAUGUUAAACGGCCGUGGUAUCUUAACCAUGCGAAGGUAGCGUAAUCAUUUGUCUUUUAAAUGAAGACCUGUAUGAAUGGCAAAACGAGGGCUUAACUGUCUCCCUUCCCCAGUCAAUGAAAUUGACCUCCCCGUGCAGAGGCGGGGACAAAACUAUAAGACGAGAAGACCCUGUGGAGCUUUAGACUUAAAAUAACCCUGUAAAAUAAACUUUAAUACAAGCAUAAACUUAGUGAAACUUAUUUGAAUGUCUUUGGUUGGGGUGACCACGGGGCAAAACAUAACCCCCACGAAGAUUGGGGAGAUAUCCCUAACACUAAGAGACACCUCUCUAAGUAACAAAAUUUUUGACUUUAAAAAUGAUCCGGUAUAACCGAUUAACGAACUCAGUUACCCCAGGGAUAACAGCGCAAUCCCCUCCCAGAGCCCUUAUCGACGAGGGGGUUUACGACCUCGAUGUUGGAUCAGGACAUCCUAAUGGUGCAGCCGCUAUUAAGGGUUCGUUUGUUCAACGAUUAAAGUCCUACGUGAUCUGAGUUCAGACCGGAGUAAUCCAGGUCAGUUUCUAUCUAUAAAGAGUCUUUUCCCAGUACGAAAGGACCUGAAAAGAGGGGCCAAUACUUCAUGCACGCCCCUUCCUCAACCGCUGAAACCUUAUAAAACGGAUGAGAGCACUUACUAAUUAAACGAAGAUAACGGAAA